This 869-nucleotide ribosomal RNA is filed under the name uncultured bacterium. RNAcentral's name for it is "bacterial SSU rRNA". It matches the Rfam family "Bacterial small subunit ribosomal RNA", at positions 9 to 873 of the family's 1533-position model. The record is from RNAcentral.
UAGAGUUUGAUCCUGGCUCAGAUUGAACGCUGGCGGCAGGCCUAACACAUGCAAGUCGAGCGGAUGAAGAGAGCUUGCUCUCUGAUUCAGCGGCGGACGGGUGAGUAAUGCCUAGGAAUCUGCCUAUUAGUGGGGGACAACGUUUCGAAAGGAACGCUAAUACCGCAUACGUCCUACGGGAGAAAGCAGGGGACCUUCGGGCCUUGCGCUAAUAGAUGAGCUUAGGUCGGAUUAGCUAGUUGGUGAGGUAAAGGCUCACCAAGGCGACGAUCCGUAACUGGUCUGAGAGGAUGAUCAGUCACACUGGAACUGAGACACGGUCCAGACUCCUACGGGAGGCAGCAGUGGGGAAUAUUGGACAAUGGGCGAAAGCCUGAUCCAGCCAUGCCGCGUGUGUGAAGAAGGUCUUCGGAUUGUAAAGCACUUUAAGUUGGGAGGAAGGGCAGUAAGCUAAUACCUUGCUGUUUUGACGUUACCGACAGAAUAAGCACCGGCUAACUUCGUGCCAGCAGCCGCGGUAAUACGAAGGGUGCAAGCGUUAAUCGGAAUUACUGGGCGUAAAGCGCGCGUAGGUGGUUUGUUAAGUUGGAUGUGAAAGCCCCGGGCUCAACCUGGGAACUGCAUCCAAAACUGGCAAGCUAGAGUAUGGCAGAGGGUGGUGGAAUUUCCUGUGUAGCGGUGAAAUGCGUAGAUAUAGGAAGGAACACCAGUGGCGAAGCGACCACCUGGGCUAAUACUGACACUGAGUGCGAAAGCGUGGGGAGCAAACAGGAUUAGAUACCCUGGUAGUCCACGCCGUAAACGAUGUCGACUAGCCGUUGGGAUCCUUGAGAUCUUAGUGNCGCAGCUAACGCAUUAAGUCGACCGCC